RNAcentral lists this long non-coding RNA (5737 nucleotides) under Homo sapiens (human). RNAcentral describes it as "non-protein coding lnc-LRP5L-14:1". Lineage: Eukaryota; Metazoa; Chordata; Mammalia; Primates; Hominidae. The record is from RNAcentral.
GCUUCGGCCAGCCCACCCUGGGUCCCUCUGAGCUGUGAGUGUCUUGGCUGUGCCCCACAGUUGGCCACAGCUCUGCACCCAGCAUUUUGAACAGUUCCUGCAGAGCCCUGAGGCGGAGGCAGGGCCUGCAUGAACAGAAGCUUCUGGAGCAGAAGAUGCUGCUUCUGUCCCUUGACUGUGAUCUUGAGACCCUAUCUAGCUCAGGUCUGGGCAUGGGGCUUGAGCACCUUGGUGCUGGGACACAGGCCCACUUCCCAGCUGGGCUGGCAGAGGCUGCAUUAACUGAACCCUCCCCUACUCCUAUGUCCCCACCCCCAUAGGAGGCUUCCCCUCUGAAAACCAUUUGGCAAUUUCUAAUAAAUACACGCUUAUGCAUAUCAAGCAAACCCUACUCCUGGGUUUUUAUCCAAAUGGAAUGAAAACUUAUGUUCAAACAAAAAUUUGAAUGCAAAUAUUUAUACUGGUUUUAUUCACCACUGGCAAGAAGCAGAAACAUCUGGUUUGACCCACCACACACACAUAUGCACACACGUGGAAACAACCCAAUUGUCAUUCAACUGGUGAAUGGCUAAACAAAGUGUCAUACCUUCAUAAAUGGAAUCAGGCUCGGCAAUAAUAGGGGAACAAACUAUUGAUCCAUAAGGCAACUGGGAUGAAUUGCAACAUUGUUACACUGAACUCAGGAAGCCAGGCUCAGAAGGUUACAUACUUAGACUCCUAGUCAGCAUUAAAAAGGAAAAAACUACGUUGCAAUUGAGCCACCUGGAGGAACACCCAGAAAACUAUGCUGAGUGGGAGAAAGCCAGUCCCCAGAGGUCACAUACUGUAUGAUUCCAUGUGCAGAACAUUCUUGAAAUAACAAAAUUAUACAAGUGGAGACCAAAUUAGUAGUUGCCAGGGGCUAAGGAGGGGUUUGGGACAGUGGGAAGUGAGUGUUCCUGUGAAAGGGCAACAUGAGGGAUGUUUGGGAGGGAAGCAUUCCCUUCUUGCUGUAUCAAUGUCAGUAUCCUGGCUCUGAUCCAUUACUGUAGCUGCAAGGUCCUACCCUUGAGGGAACUGGCCAGAGUACCUAGGAUUCCUCUGUAUUAUUCCUCACAGCUGCAUGAGAAGCUACAAUAAUCUCAAAAUAAAAAGUUUAAUUUAAAAAACGGUCACAUUGAGAGAUGACAGCGUGCUGGCAGCCCUCGCUCACUCUCGGCACCUCCUUGGCCUUGGCGCCCACUCUGACCACGCUUGAGGAACCCUUCAGCCCACUGCUGCACUGUGUGAGCCCCUCUCUGGGCUGGCCGAGGCUGGAACUGACUCCCUCUGCUUGCGGGGAGGUGUGGAGGGAGAGGCGCGGGCGGGAACCAGAGCUGCUCGCGGUGCUCACAGGCCAGCAUGCGUUCUGGGUGGGCGUGGGCUCAGUGGGUCCGACACUCAGAGUGGCAGUGAGGGGCUUAGCACCCAGGCCAGCACCUGUGGAGGGUGCACUGGGUCCCACAGCACUGCCGGCCCAUCCACACCACACUCAAAUUCUUGCCAGGCCUCAGCCACCUCCCCACAGGGCAGGGCUCGGGACCUGCAGCCCACCAUGCCCAAGGCAUGCUCCCCAGCACUGUGGGCUCCCUCACGGCCCAAGCUUCCCCGACAGGCGACGCCCCCUGCUCUGCGGUGCCCAGUCCCAUCGACUGCCCAAGGGCUGAGGGGUGCAUGCACACGCACAGGACUGGCGGGCAGCUCCGCCCGUGUGGCCCUGGUGUGGGAUCCACGAGGUGAAGCCAGCUGGACUCCUGAAUCUGGUGGGGGCUUGGAGAACUUUUAUAUGUCUACCCAGAGGAUGGUAUAUGCACCAAUCAGCAUUCUGUGUCUAGCUCGGGGUUCGUGGAUGCACCAAUCAGCACACUGUAUCUAGCUAAUCUGGUGGGGACUUGGAGAACUUUUCUGUCUAGCUAAAGGAUUGUAAAUGCACGGAUCAGUGCUCUAUGUCUAGCUCAAGUUUGUAAACGCACCAAUCAGCACCCUGUGUCUAGCUCAAGGUUUGUAAAAGCACUAAUCCGUGCUGUGUCUAGCUCAUCUAGUGGAGACUUGGAGAACUUUUGUGUCUAGCUAAAGGUUUAUAAAUGCACCAAUCAGCACCCUGUCAAAAUGGACCAAUCUGCUACUCUUUGGCUCCACACUGCCUUUAUGAGCUGUAACACUCACUGCAAAGGUCCGCAGCUUCAUUCCUGAAGCCAGCGAGACCACAAACCCACCAGAAGGAAGAAACUCCGAACACGUCCAAACAUCAGAAGGAACAAACUCUGGACACACCAUCUUUAAGAACACUCACCACAGAGGUCCGCGGCUUCAUUCUUGAAGUCAGUGAGACCAAGAACCCACCAAUUUCAGACACAACAUCCUUUACGUUUGCAUUUCUGUGAUAUUCUGUAAAAAUCAACAGUAUAGGGUCAGAAAGAGACCAGUGGUUGCCAUGGUUGGGGUACAGAAAGGGUUUGAAUGUAAAAGGAACGUAAGGGCUGAGAGCAGGGGCUCACCCCUGUAAUCCCAGCACUGUGGGAGGCUGAGGCAGGUGGGUCACCCCUGUAAUCCCAGCACUGUGGGAGGCUGAGAGCAGCGGCUCACCCCUGUAAUCCCAGCACUGUGGGAGGCUGAGGCAGGUGGGUCACCCCUGUAAUCCCAGCACUGUGGGAGGCUGAGAGCAGCGGCUCACCCCUGUAAUCCCAGCACUGUGGGAGGCUGAGAGCAGCGGCUCACCCCUGUAAUCCCAGCACUGUGGGAGGCUGAGAGCAGGGGCUCACCCCUGUAAUCCCAGCACUGUGGGAGGCUGAGAGCAGGGGCUCACCCCUGUAAUCCCAGCACUGUGGGAGGCUGAGGCAGCAGCUCACCCCUGUAAUCCCAGCACUGUGGGAGGCUGAGAGCAGGGGCUCACCCCUGUAAUCCCAGCACUGUGGGAGGCUGAGGCAGGUGGGUCACCCCUGUAAUCCCAGCACUGUGGGAGGCUGAGAGCAGCGGCUCACCCCUGUAAUCCCAGCACUGUGGGAGGCUGAGGCAGGUGGGUCACCCCUGUAAUCCCAGCACUGUGGGAGGCUGAGAGCAGCGGCUCACCCCUGUAAUCCCAGCACUGUGGGAGGCUGAGAGCAGGGGCUCACCCCAGUAAUCCCAGCACUGUGGGAGGCUGAGAGCAGGGGCUCACCCCUGUAAUCCCAGCACUGUGGGAGGCUGAGGCAGAUGGGUCACUUGGGGCCAGGAAUUUGAGACCAGCCUGGCCAACAUGGCGAAACCCUGUCUCUACUAAAAAUACAAAAAUUACCCGGGUGUGGUGACCACACUUGUAAUUCCAGCUACUUGAGAGGCUGAGGCAAGAGAAUCACUUGAAUCCAGGAGGUGGAGUUUGCAGUGAGCCGAGAUUGCACCUCUGCACACCAGCCUGGGUGACAGAGUGAGACUGUGUUUCUAAAAAAGGGGUGCUUAGAGAAAUUUGGGGGUGGUGGUGGAAAUAUUCUGUAUUUCAAUUGUGAUAGUUACAUGAGUCAAUAAUUUUUAGAAAAUUAUACUAGGUUUUAUUAGCUUCACCAAAAAGAGUAAACUUUACUGUAAAUAAAAAUAGAAAUGUUUGAAAUGUUUAAAUGUUUUAAAAUGUUUAUUAUGGGAGGUGGAGCCAAGAUGGCUGAAUAGGAACAGCUCCAGUCUACAGCUCCCAGCGUGAGUGGCGCAGAAGACAAAUGAUUUCUGCAUUUCCAACUGAGGUACCGGGUUCAUCUCACUGGGGAUUGUCGGACAGCAGGUGCAGCGCACCGAGCGUGAGCCGAAGCAGGGCGAGGCAUCGCCUCACCCAGGAAGUGCAUGGGGUCAGGGAAUUCCCUUUCCUAGCCAAGGAAAGGGAUGACAGAUGGCACCUGGAAAAUCGGGUGACUCUCACCCUAAUACUGCACUUUUCCAAAGGUCUUAGCAAAUGGCACACCAGGAGACUGUAUCCCGCACCUUGCUUGGAGGGUCCUACGCCCACGAAGCCUCGCUCAUUGCUAGCACAGCAGUCUGAGAUCAAACUGCAAGGUGGCAGUGAGGCUAGGGGAGGGGCGCCCGCCAUUGCCGAGUCUUCAGUAGGUAAACAAAGCAGCCAGGAAGCUCGAACUGGGUGGAGUCCACCGCAGCUCAAGGAGGCCCACCUGCCUCUGUGGACUCCACCUCUGGGGGCAAGGUAUAGCCAAACAAAAGGCAGCAGAAACCUCUGCAGACUUAAUUGUCCCUGUCUGACAGCUUUGAAGAGAGUAGUGGUUCUCCCAGCAUGCAGCUGGAGAUCUGAGAAUGGACAGACUGCCUCCUCAAGUGGGUCCCUGACCCCCGAGUAGCCCAACUGGGAGGCACCCCCCAGUAGGGGCAGACUGACACCUCAAACGGCUGGGUACUCCUCUGAGACAAAACUUCCAGAGGAACGAUCAGGCAGCAACAUUUGCUGUUCACCAAUAUCCGCUUUCUGCAGCCCCCACUGCUGAUACCCAGGCAAACAGGUUCUGGAGUGGACCUCCAGCAAACUCCAACAGACCUGCAGCUGAGGGUCCUGACUGUUAGAAGGAAAACUAACAAAACAGAAAGGACAUCCACAGCAAAACCCCAUCUGUACGUCACCAUCAUCAAAGACCAAAGAUAGAUAAAACCACAAAGAUGGGGAAAAAACGGAGCAGAAAAACUGAAAAGUCUAAAAAUCAGAGUGCCUCUCCUGCUCCAAAGGAAUGCAGCUCCUCACCAGCAAUGGAACAAAGCUGGAUGGAGAAUGACGAGUUGAGAGAAGAAGGCUUCAGAUGAUCAAACUACUCGGAGCUAAAGGAGGAAGUUCGAACCCAUGGCAAAGAAGUUAAAAACCUUGAAAAAAGAUUAGAUGAAUGGCUAACUAGAAUAACCAAUGCAGAGAAGUCCUUAAAGGACCUGAUGGAGCUGAAAACCACAGCACGAGAACUACGUGACGAAUGCACAAGCCUCAGUAGCCAAUUCGAUCAACUGGAACAAAGGGUAUCAGUGAUGGAAGAUCAAAUGAAUGAAAUGAAGCGAGAAGAGAAGUUUAGAGAAAAAAGAAUAAAAAGAAAUGAACAAAGCCUCCAAGAAAUUUGGGACUAUGUGAAAAGACCAAAUCUACGUCUGAUUGGUGUACCUGAAAGUGAUGGGGAGAAUGGAACCAAGUUGGAAAACACUCUGUAGGAUAUUAUCCAGGAGAACUUCCCCAAUCUAGCAAGGCAAGCCAACAUUCAGAUUCAGGAAAUACAGAGAACGCCACAAAGAUACUCCUCGAGAAGAGCAACUCCAAGACACAUAAUUGUCAGAUUCACCAAAGUUGAAAUGAAGGAAAAAAUGUUAAGGGCAGCCAGAGAGAAAGGUCGGGUUACCCGCAAAGGGAAGCCCAUCAGACUAACAGCUGAUCUCUCAGCAGAAAUUCUACAAGCCAGAAGAGAGUGGGGGCCAAUAUUCAACAUUCUUAAAGAAAAGAAUUUUCAAUCCAGAAUUUCAUAUCCAGCCAAAUUAAGCUUCAUAAGUGAAGGAGAAAUAAAAUCCUUCACUGACAAGCAAGUGCUGAGAGAUUUUGUCACCACCAGGCCUGCCCUAAAAGAGCUCCUGAAGGAAGCACUAAACAUGGAAAGGAACAACUGGUACCAGCUACUGCAAAAACAUGUCAAAUUGUAAAGACUAUCGAGGCUAGGAAGAAACUGCAUCAACUAACGAGCAAAAUAACCAGCUAACAUCAUAAUGACAGGAUCAAAUUCAC